This 74-nucleotide small nucleolar RNA is filed under the name Brassica napus (rape). Its description in RNAcentral is "snoRNA snoR60". It matches the Rfam family "Small nucleolar RNA snoR60". Rfam says of the family: snoR60 is a member of the C/D class of snoRNA which contain the C (UGAUGA) and D (CUGA) box motifs. Most of the members of the box C/D family function in directing site-specific 2'-O-methylation of substrate RNAs. Lineage: Eukaryota; Viridiplantae; Streptophyta; Magnoliopsida; Brassicales; Brassicaceae. The record is from Rfam by way of RNAcentral.
UGGCAAAUGAUGAUGUUUACUUGGAUUCCCCUUCAGAACAUUUUGUAUGUUGCAAAUUCCAAGUUUCUGAUGCU